GGAGGGUAUAGCUCAAGUGGUAGAGCGCAUGCUUAGCAUGCAUGAGGUCCUGGGUUCAAUCCCCAGUACCUCCA
RNAcentral lists this transfer RNA (74 nucleotides) under Vicugna pacos (alpaca). Its description in RNAcentral is "tRNA-Ala (AGC) (tRNA-Ala-AGC-140-1)". It matches the Rfam family "tRNA". Rfam says of the family: Transfer RNA (tRNA) molecules are approximately 80 nucleotides in length. Their secondary structure includes four short double-helical elements and three loops (D, anti-codon, and T loops). Lineage: Eukaryota; Metazoa; Chordata; Mammalia; Artiodactyla; Camelidae. The record is from RNAcentral.